This 7095-nucleotide long non-coding RNA is filed under the name Sus scrofa (pig). Its description in RNAcentral is "lncRNA (ENSSSCG00025058582.1)". Lineage: Eukaryota; Metazoa; Chordata; Mammalia; Artiodactyla; Suidae. The record is from RNAcentral.
CACUUACUAGCUGUGUCCAGAGUUACACACUUAGAAGCGGUAGAAGUAGAGUUCAGAGUCGCAUUUCUCUGCCUUUAGAGGUUAUGCACAUAGCUGCUGGGUCACUCUUAAUCAUGAGUUUGCUUUUGAAUAAAUUACAGAGAUUUCAAAGUCUCAGUUUCUAAUUGUUAAAGAAGAAUAAUCAUGGUACCCAUCUUUAGGCUGCUUGGGAGAAAUGAAUGAGAAUAUCUAUGUAAUGCUAAGAACAGAGUUGGCUUAAAGUAAAGCAGUAAUAGAACUGCUUGAUUUAUUAUUGUUGUUGUUAUUAUUAUUAUUAUUAUUACCACCAUUUUCCUUAAUAUUGUAUGGGAGAUAGACUGUUUUCCUUUUCUUGGUUUAGACUGUCAGGAGUACAGGUAAUUAGGAGUGUUGGCCCAUCUGCAGAAGCCAUAUGCUAGGCCACCCUUUAUAUAAUCUUAGGACAUUGACUUUGGAAGGGAUUUUGGAGGUCAGAUAUUCUAACGAGUGAUUACGCAAAGGAGCAGUUUUCGAUGCAGCUUCCAGUUAGAGGGGUUCAGUCAGCUAGAGGCUAUUAGAACCUCUACAGUGACGGAAGGUGGCUGCUUUGAGAGGAACAUGUGAUUGUUUAAAAAUUAUGCACACAUACUUUGUGUUUCUUUUUUAGUUCUGUCCUCUGUAACAUGCAGAAAAUUAAGUUGAAUCCUUUUUCCCUGCUGUUGUCCUUAGUCCUUCAAAGUAUUUGAGCAGACUUACAUUGGCAUUGGUGGUUCUCAAAGUGUGGCCCCAGGAAUCUCUUUCAACUGAGACCUUUUCCUUCAGGAGCCUUUCUUCUCUUCUUUCUUUUAAUCAAAGAAUCCUUGAAAACCCUAAAAGUGUGGGCUAAAAUUUUUGUGUUCCUGUAUGCAUUUUUCUGGAGCAACGUUGGAUAACCUGAAAAUAAGUUGGAGAAUCACUGCCUUAGACACUCUCAUGACCACGGUUUGUCCUGAAUAUGUCUGCAUCUCAAAGGGACAAAAAGUGGUUAAGAACCAUAUGUUUUUCAUUUUCUCAUAAUGGUAGAAAGUGCAGACAAAGGUUAGGAAUUGCGUGGAAAAGAGGAAUCUAAUAGUUAAAGUAGAGAUAGAGUUCACCUGUAUCUACUGAGCCACCACCCUGACAUCUUUGGGAAGUCUUCCAUCUAGUUUGCUUUAUUUCAGACAUAAUAAGGUAUUAAGCAGAAGAGAGAGUUCAGUAAAUUAGUCUUCUCUUAAAAACACUUAGGCUACAGAACGAGGAAUAACUAGUUUGCCCUGUAGUGGAUAAUCACUUUAGCUAAACAUAGCUUAUAUUGUGAUAUAUUCAAAUACACAAAUAUGGUGCUUAACAUAGUUCAAUAUCUCCUUCAAGGUCAUCCGAUUCCCCCCACCCCCCACCUUUUUUUUCCUGCUGUACCAAGUUUUAUGCUCUGCUAUUGAGAAUCUACAGAUAAUACCAUCCCCUCAAAAUGGUCCUUUUGUCAGACUACAAAAUGUUAUGGCAUGGAAAAGCACUAUUGGAAGAGCAGAGCAACAGAUAUUGGCAGAGAAGCUUGUAAAUGUUGCUUUCCUGCGUUAUUUCUAGAUCAUUGUCAGCCCAAAUACAUUGCCUAUGCAAGUUUUGAUAAAAUGCAUGCAGUCAUACAUUUUUUUUUUUACACAACUAUCUUGUUAUUAGUAGCCAAUUGCGUAAUCACAGGUAUGCCCAUAAAUCAUAUAACUUUACAGAAUAUCUAAAAGAAAAAGCAAAAUGGCUCUAAAUAUAUUUUAAGAUUCAGCUGAAGACAUAAUACUAUUAGAGAUGCUAAAAUUUGGACAAAACUCUAUAUUUUCAAACAAUUUAUAUACUUUUAAACUUAAUGAAAUCAUUGAAGGCAUCUGCUGUAGGAAUGACAAAAAGUCUGCAGAAAACUCUUACAAAAACUGAGAAGUUUGCCUAUAUAGUCUAACAGUAUAGCUUGUAACUAUUAGAAAAUAUACAUUGGACUUCUUGCUUUUUUUGUAUCUAUUGCAUUCCCAUACUUAACAGAGGGUAAAGGAACUCUUAGGUGAAGGAGCUCUUAGAGCUGUAAUGGUUACUUCAGUUGAUGAUGGUAAGAAGGAUGUUUUGAGGUAAAGUGGAGAAUUAAGUAAUGAAAGGAUAAAUGUUGAUACUCUUAUAAUGUUUUGUGUUUUCUUUAACAUAGCAAAUGUAAGGUGUCUUGUCUGGAAGUGAACUACCUGCUUCACUGCAAAUUAAAUUGUUUAAGGUCUAUGGAUUUAAUAAGGAGAACUGAGCUUUGCUUGUUUUUUUUUUUUUCCUCUCAAAACUCCCACUUGUGGAUUGGCCUGAAGUGAAAAUUCAUCCAAUAAUGUCCAAACCUUCUCAGUUAGGGUCUGGUACUACAUUAUGCCCAAGUGAGUGUCAAAUAAAUGUUGUCUGAUAAUGAUGAGAAUAUUUUUUUUUAGAAGGAAUUAGGCUUAUGUACCACAUUUCUCACAAUAGUCUCAAGAGUCGUUGGAAAAUAGAAUUCUUAUUUGAACUUGAACUAUUACUCUGUAAUUCUUGUCAAUUACACUAUUAUAAGUUUUAUAUAAAUUUUAAAAAAUGGAUUCAUUUGACAGUGUAAAAUCCUCCUACAUUGGAAUGUAAUAGAACUGAUUUUAACUGGUAUAUUUAAGAAGAAUAACAUGCAUUGAAUUUGAGUGAUAAACUCAAGAAUUUUCCAAAGAUGUGCUGCAUUUAGGCAUUUUAUCAAUUGGGCUCAUUCAGUAUAUAUUUCCUUACUGCAGUUUUUGCUAGGUAGUGGGACAGUUGUCAUUGCAGAGUUAGAGUAUUAGCAUAGCACCUUGAAAAUGUCUCUGUGUGAGAUAUGUGUCAUCUGAAUAUAUGUGGUCUAGAAGUUUCAUUUUCGACUUUAGAAAGCACUAACUGCUAAAUAUUUUCUUAGUUUUUUGUUUUUGUUUUAUUUCUUUUUUGGCUGUGCCUGUGGCAUAUGGAAGUUCCUGGGUCAGGGAUCAAAUCCAAGUUGCAGCUGCCACCUAUGCCACAGCUGUGGCAAGGCUGGAUCCUUAACCCACUGUGCUGUGCUGGGGACUCAAACCCUUGUGGCCUCAGAGACAACACCAGAUCCUUAACUCAUAGUGCCACAAUGGGAACUCCAUUUUCCUAGUUUCUUUUAAAAAAUAAUAACUUCAGGAAAAGAGUAUCACUCAUUCCUUGGGGAUAGGAUGUAUUCUGCUCUGGGAAAUGCUUUGGGAAAAUUACUUGAAAUUCAAGAAAUCUCAAGUGGAACAACUUCAAAAACAUUUUGCUAUAAUAUGUUCUAAAAGGUAAUUAAGUUUUGACAUGUAAAGACAUGUAAAUGUAGCAUUCUAAAAGAAGAGGUGUGGAAGUUUUUUCUUUCAGAGCAGAGUCUCUUAAUAAUUUGUGUUAGUUGAAUAUUUGAAAAAAUAGUCUGGAAUAAAUGCUGAUAUAGUUACCAGAAUUUUUAUUAUUGUCUCACCUUCACAUCAUUAAUGUUAUCUAUCCUCUUCUUUCAGCUGAAUAUGUCAAGUGACCAGAUAGCUGCCAAUCUGCAAGCAGUUAUCAAUGAAGUUUGUAGGCAAAGACCACUGAACUUGGGACCCUUUGUGGUACGUGCUUUCCUUCGAAGUUCAACAAGCGAAGGUUUGUUGAUAAAGAUCGAGCCAUUGUUGCCUAAAGAAGUAGAAGCAAAAGAAAGUGGCACAUUAACUGCUUAAAUGUGUUACAUUGUGAAAUUGUUUUCAGUGAAUCAAGGAGCAACAGAGAAAAUUAGAAAACUUUUAACUUCUGUGUCUGAUGUCUUUUUAUUUCUUGAUCAUCAUACUUGAAAGUGAAUUUUAACGCCGGAAAAUCUUACAGUACUUUCAAACAUAAGAAAAUAAAAUUUUUCUGUGUGUGAACCUACCUUUUAGAUCAUGUUAAAUUUUAUUCCACAGAAUUCAGAUUCUACAUGCUGGUAAUUAUAGCAGUUUCCAGCCUAGUAACUUCCCCUUGAGAGCCAUACCAUCUCAGGGAAAAGUAAGAGCCUCAGUUCCCAUAAGACAGAGAAGAACAGAAUCAUGUCACAAAUACGACUCUUUUCUAAAGAAAAAAUUUGGAAAAUGUUCAUUCUAAAAAUUCUGAAUAUUAUUUGUGAUAGCGCAAAUAUGGAAAAUGACUAAGCCAUUAAACCAGAGAAUGGGAAAUAUUUUUUCCUCUAGGAAUCAAUUUAUAGUAUUUGUAUUUUUCAUAAUAACAAUAUUGUAUAUUUUAAUGGUGCUUUGCAAUAUACAAGGCACCAUGUAUGGUGUUUUUAUGUAUACUUCAUUUGAUCCUGAAAUCCUUUGCUUAAUAGCAAGUUGUCAGUGUUUGUUGAAUGAAUAUGAGGUAGAUAAAACAAUUUAUGGAUGAAGAAUCAGGCUAAGAAGUUCAUGUGCCAGUUUGUAAACUGGUGUUGGUCCUGAAGUGUUUACUGGAAUGUGACAAAAUGAACAAAAAAAUAAGGAUAAUUUUGGCAUGCAGGUGUCAACUGUCCUUUCUUGGGAAUGAUUUCCUUUACUCUCAGACUCUCUUCCAGUUUUUUUAGGGGAUGUUAAAGGGCUUCUUAUAUGAAAUAAAAGUGCUGAUAAAUUUGUUGGUGGGUUUUACUAACCCUCACUUUGUAAAGAAUAUCUUGACAGCUCCAUGUAGGUCUCCCAAUUGUUUUUGAAAUUUUAGUGGUCUGAGAAGUCCAAAUGACUGUGAACAACCAUUGUACUCCACCAAGCUUUUUUCCCCUCAGGAGAAUUAAAUUUUAAAGGCCGUUUACUAAAAGUAACUGUAACAUUAACUGCAAAACAGCAGCUACCUUCUUUGGAGUACCUACCACUAUGCUUUAUAUGCAUCCUCUCAUUUCGUCCUUCCAGGAGUUCAGGGAGGAGGGAGGUACUCCAUGUUAUAGAUAAGGAGAGGCGGGCGGCACUCUUCAUUUCAUAGAUAAGGAAAUUGAAACAUGUGUGGGGUCCCAUACCUGGCAGACGAAGAUUCAAACCCACGUUUGUCUGAUUUUAAAGCCUGUUCUCGUAACCAUAAGGCUAUUUUACCUCCUUUUAAUCUAUUCUAAAAUGGAUUAAAUUGUUUGAUCAAUUUUAGGUUUUUAAAAUACUGAGUAAUUAUACUUCCGUUUCUUGGUUUGUCUAGUUUACAGGGUUCUGGCACAGUUGAUGAGAAGAAAGUAGAAGUAAGAGGGUUGGAGGAGGGGGAAGAGAAAAGAGCAGGGCAGGAUGGAGAGGAAAGGUAUCCACUUGUUUCUCACAAUUGCAGUUGUCGGAAGGUGUACCGAUUGAAAGAUCCUAGUUCACAGAGUAGAAGCCCUACUGUUGUAUGUGUAGGUUUUCUUCUGACUAAUAGAGUAGCUAUAGUAUUAUUGAAAAUUUUAGAAAUGCUAAUAAAUAUUAAGAAAUAUAUCACUCAGAAUAUUAUCCUGAUAAGCAGUAUUAAUAUUUUGGUGCUUUCCAUUGUCUUUUUCAAUUGACAGAGAGACAGAGAGAGACAGAGAAACAGAGGGAACAUGCACACACAUGAUGUUAUAAAGUAAGCAUUUCCCCAUAUUAUUUAAAAUCUUAUAUGAAAAGCAUCAUUUUACUAGCUGAGCAAUAUUUCAUCCUGUUGAUGCUCUAAUUUAUGGAGUCAUUUCCCAGUUUGGGGGCAUUUAACUUGCUUUCAGGCCCCCCCUCUACCGUUAUUAUUUACAAUGCUUUGGAGAAAAUCUUUGAGCAUCACUUAUUUUCCUCUAUAUUUCUAGAAGUGACAUUCUUGAGUUAAAGGUGUGAUAUGGCUAAGGGUCUUAAUUUUGUCUUAGAAAGGUGCCUUUUUGAGCAGAACAAGCCAGAACAAGAAAUAUGGUUGGAAAACUUGCUCUGGGCGAGAACAUUCCAGGGUCUUAUUAACUGGCCUAUGAAUAAAUUAUUCCCUAAUCUUCCCUUAGAGCAUUUUUCCUAUUGGCUACCUAGAACUAAUGUUGAAUGUUCAUCCUGGUGUGCUUCUGGAAAAAUAGAAGAAUCACUCUAGGCUACUCUUCACUUAAAUCUCUUUCUCUUUUGUAUUGUUAAUGUAUUUGCUUUUUUGUUAGAAAAUAAAUUAAAAGCUUAUAUAUAAAAAGAGUAAAAUGUUUUUAAAAUGCAUGGUAAAUACUACUGAUUCCCAAAUGUUAGCCUGCAUGCAAAUCACCUUGUGAGCACAAAUUGCCUGGCACCAGUCAGUGAUCUGAGGUGGACCGUGAAAAUUUACAUUUCUAACAAAUUCCUUUUGCCAAACCCAGGUUUGUAUGCCUGGUACAUGGUGAGGCCAAACAAACCAAAAUAUUGGAGUUUGGAGCAGAGAAAACUUUAUUGCAAGGGCUGAGCGAGGAGAACAGGCUGCUGGUGCUCAAAAAGCCUAAACGCUCCCAAGGUUUUCAGGGAAGAGUUUUUAUUGGGCAAAACGUGCAAGGAGGACUGUAAAGUAUGUGACCUUCCCCUCACUGGUUGGUGGAGAGAUAACAGUAAUAACGCUCCAGGAAUCUCAGUCCUUAGCCUUCUGGUCCAGCCAGUCUGGGAUCCAGGGAUUGUGCUCUGCCUGCAGUUACCGUCCUCCACCUGGGUGGGAGUAUCCCUUGAGGGGGAACCAGGACCCUGCAGUCUUCUUUUUUGACUGCUUUUUCUUUGUUUCUGCAUCCCCUUGCUCUUCUAAUUAGAAACUGAACCUGCCCUUUGGAAUUUGGGGAAGGUCUCAAAGGCCAAAGCCUUUUCCCUACAACAAGGAAGCGGGGGGCACGGACAGGCUUUGGUACUCUGGAGGGCCCCCAGAGUCCUGCUUGGGUUCAUUCCCAGGUGAUGAUGGUGUUACUGGUCCAUGGAUGAUACUUUGAGAACCACUGUUAUUUACUAAUGAAUCUUUUAACCUUGGAUAAAAAGAUCUCUAGCUUUGUUAUCAGCAUCAGUUUAUUUUAAAAUUCAGCAGGUAAUUCUGAUGUAGCAGGGUUGAGAAUCACCAGUAUAUGCAAUUAGCCAAAUUAUAAAAGAAAAAGUUUUUAAUAAAAGUCAAGAUUCUAAAAGAAUGAUAUGAAAAAAAAAAAAA